UGGGGAAUAUUGCACAAUGGGGGAAACCCUGAUGCAGCGACCCCGCGUGGAGGAAGAAGGUCUUCGGAUUGUAAACUCCUGUUGUUGGAGAAGAUAAUGACGGUACCCAACAAGGAAGUGACGGCUAACUACGUGCCAGCAGCCGCGGUAAAACGUAGGUCACAAGCGUUGUCCGGAAUUACUGGGUGUAAAGGGAGCGCAGGCGGGAAGACAAGUUGGAAGUGAAAUCUAUGGGCUCAACCCAUAAACUGCUUUCAAAACUGUUUUUCUUGAGUGGUGCAGAGGUAGGCGGAAUUCCCGGUGUAGCGGUGGAAUGCGUAGAUAUCGGGAGGAACACCAGUGGCGAAGGCGGCCUACUGGGCACCAACUGACGCUGAGGCUCGAAAGUGUGGGUAGCAAACAGGAUUAGAUACCCUGGUAGUCCACACCGUAAACGAUGAUUACUAGGUGUUGGAGGAUUGACCCCUUCAGUGCCGCAGUUAACACAAUAAGUAAUCCACCUGGGGAGUACGACCGCAAGGUUGAAACUCAAAGGAAUUGACGGGGGCCCGCACAAGCAGUGGAGUAUGUGGUUUAAUUCGACGCAACGCGAAGAACCUUACCAAGUCUUGACAUCCCUUGACAGACAUAGAAAUAUGUAAUCUCUUCGGAGCAAGGAGACAGGUGGUGCAUGGUUGUCGUCAGCUCGUGUCGUGAGAUGUUGGGUUAAGUCCCGCAACGAGCGCAACCCUUAUGGUCAGUUACUACGCAAGAGGACUCUGGCCAGACUGCCGUUGACAAAACGGAGGAAGGUGGGGAUGACGUCAAAUCAUCAUGCCCUUUAUGACUUGGGCUACACACGUACUACAAUGGCGUUAAACAAAGAGAAGCAAGACCGCGAGGUGGAGCAAAACUCAGAAACAACGUCCCAGUUCGGACUGCAGGCUGCAACUCGCCUGCACGAAGUCGGAAUUGCUAGUAAUCGUGGAUCAGCAUGCCACGGUGAAUACGUUCCC
RNAcentral lists this ribosomal RNA (995 nucleotides) under uncultured bacterium. Its description in RNAcentral is "bacterial SSU rRNA". It matches the Rfam family "Bacterial small subunit ribosomal RNA", at positions 355 to 1375 of the family's 1533-position model. The record is from RNAcentral.